GACGAACGCUGGCGGCGUGCCUAAUACAUGCAAGUUGAGCGAUGAAGAUUGGUGCUUGCACCAAUUUGAAGAGCAGCGAACGGGUGAGUAACGCGUGGGGAAUCUGCCUUUGAGCGGGGGACAACAUUUGGAAACGAAUGCUAAUACCGCAUAACAACUUUAAACAUAAAUUUUAAGUUUGAAAGAUGCAAUUGCAUCACUCAAAGAUGAUCCCGCGUUGUAUUAGCUAGUUGGUGAGGUAAAGGCUCACCAAGGCGAUGAUACAUAGCCGACCUGAGAGGGUGAUCGGCCACAUUGGGACUGAGACACGGCCCAAACUCCUACGGGAGGCAGCAGUAGGGAAUCUUCGGCAAUGGACGAAAGUCUGACCGAGCAACGCCGCGUGAGUGAAGAAGGUUUUCGGAUCGUAAAACUCUGUUGGUAGAGAAGAACGUUGGUGAGAGUGGAAAGCUCAUCAAGUGACGGUAACUACCCAGAAAGGGACGGCUAACUACGUG
This 497-nucleotide ribosomal RNA is filed under the name uncultured bacterium. RNAcentral describes it as "partial 16S ribosomal RNA". It matches the Rfam family "Bacterial small subunit ribosomal RNA", at positions 28 to 507 of the family's 1533-position model. The record is from RNAcentral.